Molecule: non-coding RNA, 23 nt
Filed under: Cricetulus griseus (Chinese hamster)
Lineage: Eukaryota; Metazoa; Chordata; Mammalia; Rodentia; Cricetidae
Source: RNAcentral
AAAGAUCAGGUCUUGCUGUUGGC